UGGGGAAUUUUGGACAAUGGGCGCAAGCCUGAUCCAGCCAUGCCGCGUGCAGGAUGAAGGCCUUCGGGUUGUAAACUGCUUUUGUACGGAACGAAAAGGUGCCUUCUAAUAAAGGGCGCUCAUGACGGUACCGUAAGAAUAAGCACCGGCUAGCUACGUGCCAGCAGCCGCGGUAAUACGGAGGGUGCAAGCGUUAUCCGGAUUCACUGGGUUUAAAGGGUGCGUAGGUGGGUAUGUAAGUCAGUGGUGAAAUCCCCGAGCUUAACUUGGGAACUGCCAUUGAUACUAUAUAUCUUGAAUACCGUAGAGGUAAGCGGAAUAUGUCAUGUAGCGGUGAAAUGCUUAGAUAUGACAUGGAACACCAAUUGCGAAGGCAGCUUACUAUGCGGUGAUUGACACUGAGGCACGAAAGCGUGGGUAGCAAACA
This 427-nucleotide ribosomal RNA is filed under the name uncultured bacterium. Its description in RNAcentral is "bacterial SSU rRNA". It matches the Rfam family "Bacterial small subunit ribosomal RNA", at positions 355 to 774 of the family's 1533-position model. The record is from RNAcentral.